RNAcentral lists this long non-coding RNA (286 nucleotides) under Medicago truncatula (barrel medic). RNAcentral's name for it is "lncRNA gene45752". Lineage: Eukaryota; Viridiplantae; Streptophyta; Magnoliopsida; Fabales; Fabaceae. The record is from RNAcentral.
AUGAAUAAUGGCAACUUUGGUAUCUUUUUGCCAUUUUCUUCCUCACAAGCUUCCAUCAAUACUCUCUUUGUAUUCAAUCUAGGUCUUAGGAUUUUUGGUUACAUAUAGUGGAAAAUAAUGUAAUGUGGCAAUGUUGAAGAGAUUAGGGGAAGCUCCUUUAGCAGAAAAUGGGGGUCCUAUCGGUUAUGUUUGCCUUUUUCUGAAUUGAAGAUAAAGACCAAAAUUUCUAUAUGUUAUGGAGUAUUUUAUUGUGCUACGUGUAGUUUUUAAAAAAAUGAAAUUAUGU